GCCAAGCCUCGGCAACUCAGCUUAGUUUUUCUAACUCCUUCUUAUCUACAUAGAGGCUCGCUCCUCUGGUCACCGUUUGCUCGAUUACCUGUCCGCCCUCCAACACCACCUCCACCAGCGAUCUACACCAAACUCUGAGACUCCACACGCCACCAACAAGCAGCCUCGACUCCAGCAGCCCCCACCGCUUCUUCCUCCCUGGCAGAUUAACUGCAUUUCAUCAAGAUGCAGUCGAUCCUAUACAGUGGACUCCGGGACAAGAUUCACAUUUCAUUCAAUUCUCUGGACAAAAUAAACUGUAUUGAACUGA
Long non-coding RNA from Xiphophorus couchianus (Monterrey platyfish), 310 nucleotides. RefSeq lists it as uncharacterized. NCBI's taxonomy places the organism in Eukaryota, Metazoa, Chordata, Actinopteri, Cyprinodontiformes, Poeciliidae. The record is from RefSeq and is a predicted model, not a curated record. The transcript is spliced from 3 exons.